Molecule: long non-coding RNA, 3371 nt
Filed under: Marmota monax (woodchuck)
Lineage: Eukaryota; Metazoa; Chordata; Mammalia; Rodentia; Sciuridae
Source: RNAcentral
ACAACCCCAGCCCAGUGGUGGUAGGAUUUUAAUAGAAAAAUUUUUAGAUUCUAUAAAGCUGUAGCCAUUACCUUAUACUUAUUCAAGAAUCAUUGUAUAACUGGAUUGGAUUUUUGUCCCUGGAUUUCUAAAACUUGUCUUUAAGGAGCUAAUAUGGGUCUUCCUCUCAUGCAAUAGGCUCUAAACACUGGUGCCAUGUGACAUCAUGGAGGUACAUGUACAUCCCUUAUGUUGGGUGCUGGGGACAGAAAAUCCUUGGUGGUGGGGGAAUUGGGGAGGCUGGAGGGCCAUGGCAGACCUUACAGGUGACUGAGCAGUACUUCCUGUAGAUUUGUUUGCAGGUUUCUUUUAUUUUUCAUUUUUUAAUUUUUAAAUUUCUUCUGGUGCUGGAACCCAGUCCUUGGACAUACUAGGCAAGCACCCUACCACUGAGCUACAACCUAGCCCUUAGUGGAUUUGUUUGUUCAGGCUGUAGCCUUGGCAUCUUUUGGAUUCUCGCACAGUGGGAUCCAUUCCCUCUCUAGUUCUGCUGUUGCUCAUAGGCUUGGGAAGGUGAGCCCUAUUAUUAGCAGAGACACAUACUGGAGCUUAGAGUUUCAAAACCUGAAGCCAAUGUGGGAACACUAGGGCUCUAUAAAAAGCAUGCCUAUGUGUUACCGAGCACUCACACAUGUUGAAUGGAGCUCUCCUGAGUUGUAGACGUGCCUUGCCCCCUCCACACAUAAAGUACAGCAGAUCCUGCUGGAAUGGGGAGCUGUUUCUCUUAAACUUUAGGAAUGGUUCCCCUUGUGUGUCUCUUGCAGAAUAAGAUGGACAGAUAUGUUUGAAGUCAGUUCCAUGAUGCUCUUUGGGUGGGGAGGUGGAAUGAGGGAUCAUAGGAGUUAAUGAGUUUGAAACCUGAUUUCCUCUAGGACAUAGCAUGAGUGUUCCAAAACGGGGAGGGGGUGCAAGCAGGACCCUCACUCUCCAGACAUUGGGGACACCACCAUUUUAAACUGGGAUUACGUGCAAGUUCCCAUUUGUAGAAUCGGAUUCCUCAUUGCCUCUACCAUGGGAUGGAGGGUUUCACAUCUUUUUUUCCCCCCCUCUCCUGAGAGAAUCAUUUCUUGGAACGGUUCAUACGAUUCUUCUGUUUUUCCAGAGAGGUUUCUUUCACCUGGAUUUUGUUAAAACUUAUUAAAUCUGACCAAAUGGGCUUGUAUGCGUUUCCCUGAAGUGAACGUUUCACCAGAGCCAAGAUGGGUUUUAGCUUUUCUGACAGCUGAUGGAUAUUUUUCAAGGCGAGUGAGAGCCUCUAAGCACCUUCUGAAUAUGAUACACACAUGCUGGUGAGAGGAGAGCAUAUGGGCCAGGUGUUUGGGGAACAGUUUGUUAAAGCCAACGAAUUUCGCAAAUGUGUUAGAUGAGGAAAAGUUCUCAGCUUUUUUCCAGUGGCAGUGGUCAGGGCUCUGUAACUGGAGGAGACCAGCGUGAGAGAACACUUUAUUUUCUGCCGUUAAGACCCAUCCAUAUGACCCCAAGCAACUGGAUAGAAGGCUGAAAAUGCUGAUUCAAUGGGUCAGUUUUAGGUGGGACAUUUUACAGAUCCACCAGACCGACUCUGGUUUUGGGUUUCAAAAGCUGGUGACAGGUGACAGAACUUAUUCAGAUGACUUGAUUAUACCCAUAGAAAUGGCCAACUUGUUUCCCUCUCUCUUAGCUAUGGUCUCGCAGCCCCAGGACCAGCUUCUGCCAAAUAAUAAAUGUACUUGGUAGGAUCAUUUCUGGGCUAUGUUGCCUCUGGCUUUUAAAGUUUGCUUUGGGCUUGCUUUUAGAGCAAGUUUGCUUUGGGCUUGCUUUUAGAGCCUUUGAUCUCUUAUUGCUCGGUGUUUGGACUUUCUUGAACACUAAAGAGCCCUCAUCAUAUUUUGAAAGAGCACGUUAAGAAUCUCGAAGGUGGCUGGGUCUAGUGGCUUAAGCCUAUAAUCCCAGAGAUUUAGGAGGCUGAGGCAGGAGGAUCACAGGUUCCAAGCCAGCCUCAGCAGUUCAGUGAGGCUGUAAGCAACCUAGUGAGACCCUGUCUCAAAAUGAAAAGGGCUGGGGAUAUGGCUCAGUGGUUAAUUUAAGUGCCCUUGAUUUCAAUCUCUGGCACCCACAAAACAAAACAAAACCAAAAACUCUCUAAGGCUUGCUUCUUCCCUAGAAAGUCCUGAAGAAGAAGAUCUACGGCUAUUUCUAUUCUCCAGCCUUAGAGUCCCUUCUCUCCCCAUUGCUCUGAGCUAUGUUCUGAGCUCUGUACUUCUUCAAUGUCAACACCUAGGCCCUGUGUGGGCUUUGGGGGUCUGUGGAUGUCUGAAUUAAAUAUUUUACCUUCCUCUGAAAAUCUGGCUCCUUUCUCAGAAGCCAUCACAGCCCAUUUGCCCCAUGGACAUUCUCGGGUCCCCUCUGGACCUAGACAUUGGGGGCUGUUCCCAAAGCAAUUCACUUGCUUCCUUCCAGGCAUUGCAAACUGAGCAUUUGUGAGAUCCCUGCCAGCAGGGGCUCAAGAUUUUCCCUUCUCUAGAGUGUCCUGAAGUUUCAGAAAUAUUGGUAUUCUCCAUGGUUUCAUUUUGAAAAAAUUUCCAAUUUAUAGAAAGGUCAAAAGAAUAGGUCCAUGAACAUCUGUAUCUCUUUGCCUCGUUUGCUAACAUUCUGCUGAUUUGUGUUCUUUCUCCAUAAAAAAAUUGUUUUUUAUCUUUCUUUCUGAGCCAUUUGGAAGUAAGGUACCAAUACCAUGAAACUCACCCCUGAACACUUCAGCAAAGAUCUUCCAAGAAUGAGAACAUUCUCCUAUGUAAGCAAAGUGUUAUCAUAUGGAAGAAAUUGAACACUCAAUUGCCUAAUGUACAAUCCAUAUUCAAAUUUCCCCAAUUGUUCCCACAUGCCCUUUAUGGCUUUCAAAAAAAAAAAAAGUCUAGGAUCCAGUCAAAGUUCACACGGUUCAUUUGGUUUGAUAUCUCUUUUAUUUCUUUUAACGGAGGAAGUCCCCCCUACUUUGCUUGCUAUUUUCUCUGGACUCUUGGAAGAACCCCCAUCAAUUGUCUUAUGGACUGUUCUACAAUCUCUUUGUCUGUUUCCUUCUGAUUAGACUCAGGUGAACCAUGUUGGCCAUUUCUAUAGCAUUACAUGUGGGGCACACGCUUGGCCUAUUGUCCCUGCCAGCUCUGACUAUGGACAGGCAGGGGCCACCAGACCUCUCAUUACACUCUUUGUCUCUGUAAUUAGAACUCCAUGGGUGAAACUCUUGAGACCAUGCAUUUUAUUCCCCAGCAACCUUUCACCCAAUAGCUUUAGGGUGAUCCAUUGGUGAUUUUUUUUUUUUUUUAAAGAGAGAGUGAGAGGGGAAGAGAGAG